RNAcentral lists this ribosomal RNA (2789 nucleotides) under Escherichia coli. RNAcentral describes it as "bacterial LSU rRNA". It matches the Rfam family "Bacterial large subunit ribosomal RNA". The record is from RNAcentral. Lineage: Bacteria; Pseudomonadati; Pseudomonadota; Gammaproteobacteria; Enterobacterales; Enterobacteriaceae.
AGCGUACACGGUGGAUGCCCUGGCAGUCAGAGGCGAUGAAGGACGUGCUAAUCUGCGAUAAGCGUCGGUAAGGUGAUAUGAACCGUUAUAACCGGCGAUUUCCGAAUGGGGAAACCCAGUGUGAUUCGUCACACUAUCAUUAACUGAAUCCAUAGGUUAAUGAGGCGAACCGGGGGAACUGAAACAUCUAAGUACCCCGAGGAAAAGAAAUCAACCGAGAUUCCCCCAGUAGCGGCGAGCGAACGGGGAGCAGCCCAGAGCCUGAAUCAGUGUGUGUGUUAGUGGAAGCGUCUGGAAAGGCGUGCGAUACAGGGUGACAGCCCCGUACACAAAAAUGCACAUGCUGUGAGCUCGAUGAGUAGGGCGGGACACGUGGUAUCCUGUCUGAAUAUGGGGGGACCAUCCUCCAAGGCUAAAUACUCCUGACUGACCGAUAGUGAACCAGUACCGUGAGGGAAAGGCGAAAAGAACCCCGGCGAGGGGAGUGAAAAAGAACCUGAAACCGUGUACGUACAAGCAGUGGGAGCACAGAGCAAUCUGUGUGACUGCGUACCUUUUGUAUAAUGGGUCAGCGACUUAUAUUCUGUAGCAAGGUUAACCGAAUAGGGGAGCCGAAGGGAAACCGAGUCUUAACUGGGCGUUAAGUUGCAGGGUAUAGACCCGAAACCCGGUGAUCUAGCCAUGGGCAGGUUGAAGGUUGGGUAACACUAACUGGAGGACCGAACCGACUAAUGUUGAAAAAUUAGCGGAUGACUUGUGGCUGGGGGUGAAAGGCCAAUCAAACCGGGAGAUAGCUGGUUCUCCCCGAAAGCUAUUUAGGUAGCGCCUCGUGAAUUCAUCUCCGGGGGUAGAGCACUGUUUCGGCAAGGGGGUCAUCCCGACUUACCAACCCGAUGCAAACUGCGAAUACCGGAGAAUGUUAUCACGGGAGACACACGGCGGGUGCUAACGUCCGUCGUGAAGAGGGAAACAACCCAGACCGCCAGCUAAGGUCCCAAAGUCAUGGUUAAGUGGGAAACGAUGUGGGAAGGCCCAGACAGCCAGGAUGUUGGCUUAGAAGCAGCCAUCAUUUAAAGAAAGCGUAAUAGCUCACUGGUCGAGUCGGCCUGCGCGGAAGAUGUAACGGGGCUAAACCAUGCACCGAAGCUGCGGCAGCGACGCUUAUGCGUUGUUGGGUAGGGGAGCGUUCUGUAAGCCUGCGAAGGUGUGCUGUGAGGCAUGCUGGAGGUAUCAGAAGUGCGAAUGCUGACAUAAGUAACGAUAAAGCGGGUGAAAAGCCCGCUCGCCGGAAGACCAAGGGUUCCUGUCCAACGUUAAUCGGGGCAGGGUGAGUCGACCCCUAAGGCGAGGCCGAAAGGCGUAGUCGAUGGGAAACAGGUUAAUAUUCCUGUACUUGGUGUUACUGCGAAGGGGGGACGGAGAAGGCUAUGUUGGCCGGGCGACGGUUGUCCCGGUUUAAGCGUGUAGGCUGGUUUUCCAGGCAAAUCCGGAAAACUAAGGCUGAGGCGUGAUGACGAGGCACUACGGUGCUGAAGCAACAAAUGCCCUGCUUCCAGGAAAAGCCUCUAAGCAUCAGGUAACAUCAAAUCGUACCCCAAACCGACACAGGUGGUCAGGUAGAGAAUACCAAGGCGCUUGAGAGAACUCGGGUGAAGGAACUAGGCAAAAUGGUGCCGUAACUUCGGGAGAAGGCACGCUGAUAUGUAGGUGAAGUCCCUCGCGGAUGGAGCUGAAAUCAGUCGAAGAUACCAGCUGGCUGCAACUGUUUAUUAAAAACACAGCACUGUGCAAACACGAAAGUGGACGUAUACGGUGUGACGCCUGCCCGGUGCCGGAAGGUUAAUUGAUGGGGUCAGCGCAAGCGAAGCUCUUGAUCGAAGCCCCGGUAAACGGCGGCCGUAACUAUAACGGUCCUAAGGUAGCGAAAUUCCUUGUCGGGUAAGUUCCGACCUGCACGAAUGGCGUAAUGAUGGCCAGGCUGUCUCCACCCGAGACUCAGUGAAAUUGAACUCGCUGUGAAGAUGCAGUGUACCCGCGGCAAGACGGAAAGACCCCGUGAACCUUUACUAUAGCUUGACACUGAACAUUGAGCCUUGAUGUGUAGGAUAGGUGGGAGGCUUUGAAGUGUGGACGCCAGUCUGCAUGGAGCCGACCUUGAAAUACCACCCUUUAAUGUUUGAUGUUCUAACGUUGACCCGUGAUCCGGGUUGCGGACAGUGUCUGGUGGGUAGUUUGACUGGGGCGGUCUCCUCCUAAAGAGUAACGGAGGAGCACGAAGGUUGGCUAAUCCUGGUCGGACAUCAGGAGGUUAGUGCAAUGGCAUAAGCCAGCUUGACUGCGAGCGUGACGGCGCGAGCAGGUGCGAAAGCAGGUCAUAGUGAUCCGGUGGUUCUGAAUGGAAGGGCCAUCGCUCAACGGAUAAAAGGUACUCCGGGGAUAACAGGCUGAUACCGCCCAAGAGUUCAUAUCGACGGCGGUGUUUGGCACCUCGAUGUCGGCUCAUCACAUCCUGGGGCUGAAGUAGGUCCCAAGGGUAUGGCUGUUCGCCAUUUAAAGUGGUACGCGAGCUGGGUUUAGAACGUCGUGAGACAGUUCGGUCCCUAUCUGCCGUGGGCGCUGGAGAACUGAGGGGGGCUGCUCCUAGUACGAGAGGACCGGAGUGGACGCAUCACUGGUGUUCGGGUUGUCAUGCCAAUGGCACUGCCCGGUAGCUAAAUGCGGAAGAGAUAAGUGCUGAAAGCAUCUAAGCACGAAACUUGCCCCGAGAUGAGUUCUCCCUGACUCCUUGA